This 72-nucleotide transfer RNA is filed under the name Dyella japonica DSM 16301. RNAcentral's name for it is "tRNA-Gly". It matches the Rfam family "tRNA". From Rfam's summary of the family: Transfer RNA (tRNA) molecules are approximately 80 nucleotides in length. Their secondary structure includes four short double-helical elements and three loops (D, anti-codon, and T loops). Further hydrogen bonds mediate the characteristic L-shaped molecular structure. tRNAs have two regions of fundamental functional importance: the anti-codon, which is responsible for specific mRNA codon recognition, and the 3' end, to which the tRNAs corresponding amino acid is attached (by aminoacyl-tRNA synthetases). tRNAs cope with the degeneracy of the genetic code in two manners: having more than one tRNA (with a specific anti-codon) for a particular amino acid; and 'wobble' base-pairing, i.e. permitting non-standard base-pairing at the 3rd anti-codon position. Lineage: Bacteria; Pseudomonadati; Pseudomonadota; Gammaproteobacteria; Lysobacterales; Rhodanobacteraceae. The record is from RNAcentral.
GCACCGCUGGUCCAACUGUAGGACGCGAGCCUUCCAAGGUCGGUGGUGCCGGUUUCAAUCCGGCGGGGCGCU